AUUGAACGCUGGCGGCAUGCUUUACACAUGCAAGUCGAACGGUAGAGGGGGCAACCCCUUGAGAGUGGCGAACGGGUGAGUAAUGCAUCGGAACGUGCCCAGUCGUGGGGGAUAACGCAGCGAAAGCUGUGCUAAUACCGCAUACGAUCUCUGGAUGAAAGCGGGGGACCGAAAGGCCUCGCGCGAUUGGAGCGGCCGAUGUGAGAUUAGUGAGUUGGGGGGGUAAAGGCUCACCAAGCCAACGACCGGUAGCUGGUCUGAGAGGACGACCAGCCACACUGGGAGUAGGACACGUCCCAAACUCCUACGGGAGGCAGCAGUGGGGAAUGUUGGACAAUGGGCGCAAGCCUGAUCCAGCAACGCCGCGUGCAGGAAGAAGGCCUUCGGGUUGUAAACUGCUUUUGUACGGAACGAAAAGGUCUGGGUUAAAACCCUGGGCACAUGACGGUACCGUAAGAAUAGGCACCGGCUAACUACGUGCCAGCAGCCGCCGCCG
RNAcentral lists this ribosomal RNA (496 nucleotides) under uncultured bacterium. RNAcentral's name for it is "partial 16S ribosomal RNA". It matches the Rfam family "Bacterial small subunit ribosomal RNA", at positions 29 to 523 of the family's 1533-position model. The record is from RNAcentral.